CCUACGGGGGGCAGCAGUGAGGAAUAUUGGUCAAUGGCCGGAAGGCUGAACCAGCCAAGCCGCGUGAAGGACGAAGGUGCCAAGCAUUGUAAACUUCUUUUGUCAAGGGACAAAAUCAGGCUCUAGAGCCUGACCGAGGGUACUUGAAGAACAAGCAUCGGCUAACUCCGUGCCAGCAGCCGCGGUAAUACGGAGGAUGCGAGUGUUAUCCGGAUUUAUUGGGUUUAGAGGGUGCGUAGGGGGGCUGUUAAGUCAGCGGUAAAAGCCCGGGGCUCAACCCCGGCGAGCCGUUGAAUCUGGCUGUCUUGAGAUGUCGAGAGGUAUGCGGAAUGCGCAGUGUAGCGGUGAAAUGCGUAGAUAUUGCGAAGAACUCCGAUUGCGAAGGCAGCAUACUGGCGGCGAUCUGACGCUGAGGCACGAAAGCGUGGGUAUCGAACAGGAUUAGAUACCCGGGUAGUC
RNAcentral lists this ribosomal RNA (459 nucleotides) under uncultured bacterium. Its description in RNAcentral is "partial 16S ribosomal RNA". It matches the Rfam family "Bacterial small subunit ribosomal RNA", at positions 338 to 795 of the family's 1533-position model. The record is from RNAcentral.